RNAcentral lists this ribosomal RNA (443 nucleotides) under uncultured soil bacterium. RNAcentral's name for it is "bacterial SSU rRNA". It matches the Rfam family "Bacterial small subunit ribosomal RNA", at positions 26 to 518 of the family's 1533-position model. The record is from RNAcentral.
AGAACGAACGCUGGCGGCAUGCCUAAUACAUGCAAGUCGAACGAACACUUCGGUGUUAGUGGCGCACGGGUGCGUAACGCGUGGGAAUCUGCCCUUGGGUUCGGAAUAACAGUUGGAAACGACUGCUAAUACCGGAUGAUAUCGAAAGAUCAAAGAUUUAUCGCCCAGGGAUGAGCCCGCGUAGGAUUAGCUAGUUGGUGAGGUAAAGGCUCACCAAGGCGACGAUCCUUAGGCUGGUCUGAGAGGAUGAUCAGCCACACUGGGACUGAGACACGGCCCAGACUCCUACGGGAGGCAGCAGUAGGGAAUAUUGGACAAUGGGGGCAACCCUGAUCCAGCAAUGCCGCGUGAGUGAUGAGGCCUUAGGUGUAAAGCUCUUUACCCGAGAUGAUAAUGACAGUAUCGGAGAAUAAGCUCCGGCUAACUCCGUGCCCAGCAGCCGC